UAUCUCUGUAGAGUCUGCAUAUCAAUAAGCGGAGGAAAAGAAACUAACUAGGAUUCCCUCAGUAACGGCGAGUGAAGCGGGAAGAGCUCAAAUUUGAAAUCUUCAAGGUUCUACCUUGACGAAUUGUAGUUUAAAGAAGGUGUUUUCUGUUGGAGUUUUGGUAAAAGUUCUUUGGAAUAGGACAUCAUAGAGGGUGAGAAUCCCGUAUUUGGCCAUUCCUUCCUAGCGUUGUGAUACACUUUCAACGAGUCGGAUUGUUUGGGAAUGCAGUCCAAAAUGGGUGGUAAAUUUCAUCUAAAGCUAAAUACUGGCGAGAGACCGAUAGCGAACAAGUACCGUGAGGGAAAGAUGAAAAGAACUUUGAAAAGAGAGUUAAACAGUACGUGAAAUUGUCAAAAGGGAAGCGUUUGACACCAGUGUUGUUUUUCCGAAAAUCAAUUACGAAUGUUUUAUUUUUGAGGAGUUAUGACUUCAUCGGCUUGCUCCUUUCUUUAUGAAACUUUCUUAAUGCACUUUUCGGUUAACAAGUCAACAUCAAUUUCUUUUGUUGUAAAAGGGUAUGAGGAAGGUGGCUUUACUUUCGGGUAAAGUGUUUAUAGCCUUGUAACUUCUGCAAUCGGAGAGAUUGAGGUCUGCAGCGUAGAUCCUUCGGGGUUAGAUACAUUUGUGCUAAGUUAUAGCUUUUCAUAGACAACUUGUUGACUAUGAUUAAGUCUUGUAAUUUACUCGCAGAUGCUAUUUUACCUACGCUUAGGAUGUUGAGUAGCGACAUACGCAC
RNAcentral lists this ribosomal RNA (778 nucleotides) under uncultured Neocallimastigales. RNAcentral describes it as "partial large subunit ribosomal RNA". It matches the Rfam family "Eukaryotic large subunit ribosomal RNA", at positions 24 to 649 of the family's 3401-position model. Lineage: Eukaryota; Fungi; Neocallimastigomycota; Neocallimastigomycetes; Neocallimastigales. The record is from RNAcentral.